UACGUAGGGUGCAAGCGUUGUCCGGAAUUAUUGGGCGUAAAGAGCUCGUAGGCGGUUUGUCGCGUCGGAUGUGAAAGCCCGGGGCUUAACCCCGGGUCUGCAUUCGAUACGGGCAGACUAGAGUUCGGUAGGGGAGAUCGGAAUUCCUGGUGUAGCGGUGAAAUGCGCAGAUAUCAGGAGGAACACCGGUGGCGAAGGCGGAUCUCUGGGACGGUACUGACGCUGAGACGCGAAAGCGUGGGGAGCGAACAGG
Molecule: ribosomal RNA, 253 nt
Filed under: uncultured bacterium
Lineage: Bacteria
Description: partial 16S ribosomal RNA
Rfam family: Bacterial small subunit ribosomal RNA
Source: RNAcentral